Molecule: transfer RNA, 91 nt
Filed under: Microbacterium sp. Bi121
Lineage: Bacteria; Bacillati; Actinomycetota; Actinomycetes; Micrococcales; Microbacteriaceae
Description: tRNA-Ala
Source: RNAcentral
CGGUGUUGCGCACGGCGCGGUUCCACGUGACGGUCUCGCCUGCCGUGGCGAGACCGUUGUCGUCCGCGUCGUUCCAGUCGCCGGUCACCUC